This is a long non-coding RNA of Dendronephthya gigantea, 103 nucleotides long. RefSeq lists it as uncharacterized. The transcript has 2 exons. The record is from RefSeq and is a predicted model, not a curated record. Lineage: Eukaryota; Metazoa; Cnidaria; Anthozoa; Malacalcyonacea; Nephtheidae.
AAGAAGAUCAUUUAUCAAUUCGUGACAAUGUAAAGCUUGCAGACUCAGGAAAAGCGAGAGGAACGUCAAGGAAUCAACUUGAAGGAUAUCUCUCGCAUUGGAG